GGUGGCAGAAGGCGGGGUGGGCCCUGCAGAGGCUGGGAAGCUCCCGGGAGGCAUACUACGUGCUGUCCGGCUCUGUAGGAAGCCCUCGUUCUGACUAGCUGGAAGCUCUGCUACCAGGUGCAGGAUCAGGGUUGCAUGCCUCCCAGCCCCAGCCUGGCCGAGAAAGAAGAGCCUACCUGGUUCACUUGCUGAGACCCUCAGAGAAGUGGACACCUUGCUGUUCACGAACACAUGCAGGGCAUGCUUGGAUUUGCACACAGGCUAUCCAUACAGGGCAUUGUUUGACAUGACCAUUUCUGGGGGCAGAGAAGGAGGUGGCAGGGAGCCCUUGCCAGGUUGGAGAAGGCGAUGGACAGGUGAAGACAUGGAGUGGAAUGUGCUGGAAGAAGUGUGGUGCCCCUCUGCUCCCAGCUUCUCCUCGGAUUAAGGUUGCAACCGAGAGCCAUCGUCAUGGCUGCCCGCCUGCUCGCCCCAGAAAGCCAUCCCCCAUCCCACUGCUGCCCACCAGCCCUGUUUCCCUCUUCAUGUCUGUCUCCUAGACUGUCACUUCAGCCCUAGGUGGGCUCUGGUCUCUUCCUGGUGUCUCAUUCCCACUAAGGGAAGCCUCUUUGUCGAACUACUCGCAGAGAAGAAAUAAUGAA
Molecule: long non-coding RNA, 641 nt
Organism: Mesocricetus auratus (golden hamster)
Lineage: Eukaryota; Metazoa; Chordata; Mammalia; Rodentia; Cricetidae
Exons: 3
Source: RefSeq, a predicted model, not a curated record